GUGCCAGCCGCCGCGGUAAUACAGAGGUCUCGAGCGUUACGCGGAUUUACUAGGGCUUAAAGGGUGCGUAGGCGGGUUCGUAAGUGCUUUGUGAAAUCCCACGGCUUAACCGUGGAAUAGCUUGGCAUACUGCGAGCCUUGAGGUCGGUAGAGGUCGCUGGAACUCUAGGUGGAGCGGUGAAAUGCGUAGAUAUCUAGAGGAACGCCAAAGGUGAAGACAGGCGACUGGGCCGAUUCUGACGCUGAGGCACGAAAGCGUGGGUAGCGAACGGGAUUAGAUACCCCCGUAGUCC
This 293-nucleotide ribosomal RNA is filed under the name uncultured bacterium. Its description in RNAcentral is "partial 16S ribosomal RNA". It matches the Rfam family "Bacterial small subunit ribosomal RNA", at positions 505 to 796 of the family's 1533-position model. The record is from RNAcentral.